UAGAGUUGAUCCUGGCUCAGAUUGAACGCUAGCGGGAUGCCUUACACAUGCAAGUCGAACGGCAGCACAGACUUCGGUCUGGUGGCGAGUGGCGAACGGGUGAGUAAUGUAUCGGAACGUGCCCAGUAGUGGGGGAUAACUACGCGAAAGCGUAGCUAAUACCGCAUACGCCCUACGGGGGAAAGCAGGGGAUCGCAAGACCUUGCACUAUUGGACGCGGCCGAUAUCGGAUUAGCUAGUUGGUGGGGUAACGGCUCACCAAGGCUGACGAUCCGUAGCUGGUUUGACGAAGGACGACCAGUCUCACACUGGGANACUGAGGACACGGCCCAGGACUCCUAGCGGGAGAG
This 350-nucleotide ribosomal RNA is filed under the name uncultured bacterium. RNAcentral describes it as "bacterial SSU rRNA". It matches the Rfam family "Bacterial small subunit ribosomal RNA", at positions 1 to 349 of the family's 1533-position model. The record is from RNAcentral.